UCUAUAGAUGACAUUCAAAAA
Molecule: non-coding RNA, 21 nt
Filed under: Caenorhabditis elegans
Lineage: Eukaryota; Metazoa; Nematoda; Chromadorea; Rhabditida; Rhabditidae
Source: RNAcentral